GGUUCCGUGGUGUAGUGGUUAACACGUCUGCCUGUCACGCAGAAGAUCGCGGGUUCAAGUCCCGUCGGAACCGCCA
This 76-nucleotide transfer RNA is filed under the name Clostridium sp. CAG:433. RNAcentral describes it as "transfer RNA-Asp(GTC)". It matches the Rfam family "tRNA". Rfam says of the family: Transfer RNA (tRNA) molecules are approximately 80 nucleotides in length. RNAcentral also lists the same sequence under 2 other names. The record is from RNAcentral. Lineage: Bacteria; Bacillati; Bacillota; Clostridia; Eubacteriales; Clostridiaceae.